This 253-nucleotide ribosomal RNA is filed under the name uncultured bacterium. RNAcentral's name for it is "partial 16S ribosomal RNA". It matches the Rfam family "Bacterial small subunit ribosomal RNA", at positions 524 to 776 of the family's 1533-position model. The record is from RNAcentral.
UACGUAGGCAGCGAGCGUUGUUCGGAGUUACUGGGCGUAAAGGGUGUGUAGGCGGUCCUCUAAGUUUGGUGUGAAAUCUCCCGGCUCAACCGGGAGGGUGCGCCGAAAACUGGGGGGCUAGAGUGCGGGAUGGGUAAGUGGAAUUCCUGGUGUAGCGGUGAAAUGCGUAGAUAUCAGGAGGAACACCUGUGGUGUAGACGGCUUACUGGACCGCAACUGACGCUGAGACGCGAAAGCUAGGGGAGCGAACAGG